CGGACCCCUCGCUAAAGGCUCGCUUGCUUAUGCUUUACCUUUUAACACUGAGCUAUCUUCUUUCUGUCGUUAGUUUCGUAGUUACUACAAAUGGAUUUGGAAAGUGAGGAGAUGCUUAAGGAAGUAUUAAAGGAGCAAAAAAGGCUUCUUGUUCUACAUUUUUGGACAACAUGGUCUGAGCCUAGCCGACACAUUAAUGAAGCUCUUACUGAUUUGUCUCAAACCUAUUCACAACAUCGUUUCAUAAAGAUAGAGGCAGAAGAGCAAAGUCAGGUAUCCUUAAAGUACUCUGUGACAGCUGUUCCAACUGUUGUAUUUGUCAAGAUACCUCCCUGGAACACUUAGAAAUUUAGCACUCAAUCUGCACUCAGACAGUAUACCUCCCCUAUCAUCAUAAAUAUUAGAGUAAAUGAAAGGGAUUACAAACUUCCUUUCGCGUCUGGAAAUGCUAGUUACCAAUACCGUAUUAAUUAGUCGUAUGUAAAAUUGAAAAUGGCUAGACAAGUAAAGUAGGUAACCCUUCAUUAAUGCAGACAGACACUCUUUCUACUUGCCCAAGUAGUCUGCUGUGGCAAUCAUGAUGUUUGCAGUUGGAAUUCAUUGUUGAUCAACACUGGCAAUCACUAAUCACCAUAAUGCAUGUUUAAGACCAAAGACCAUUUAGUUUUUAAGUUAAAGGUACAAAACUAACCUUUCGAACUUAACAGUACAUUGAUCAUUACAGAAUGACGGAAUCAUAUUUUCAAAUGUAACAAAGUGGAUGACCUCCACCUAUUGAUGCUCUAUUGAAUGAUUUAAUUAGUUGUUAUCAUUUGUUAAACACUUUUAAGAAAAAGAUACAAAACAAAAUGUAGUUGCAAGUUGCAACCACUCCCAAUCGAGAGCAAAAAAAUUAGUGCAAGUAAUGAUGAAUGCACCUGAAAAGUUGUCUGGGGAUAAAGACAUGUUUCCUCUGCUUUAUUUCUCAUAAAUCUUGAUGAAUAAUGACACUACUAACUAUUGACAGCCUUUGACAGGUCACAAACAAGACGCUUGCUAAAAGUGAGCAGCCAUUGCUAAGAAUAGGGGUAACCUGCAUCUGUUACCUAGCGAUACACAAAGCCAAUCUAAAAACACUGAAGUUUCCAAUCCCUUUCAUUUAGUCUAUUAUCUAUGCUAUCAUCCCCUCCCUAUUGGAACACAACUACUAAAGAGUGAGGCACUGGGCCCUUCACACCAAGUGGUAUCAUUAAGCUAAAGACUACAUUUUGCGCAAAUCAUUCACAGAAUACUUGGAACCUCUAUAGUCUUUCCAUAGACUUAGAAAUGUGUAUUUUACAUGUCCUGCUAGUUUCAGACCUAUUGAAGCAAAUAUAGCUAUCAAAAAAGUGCCAUUAAGUUAGUCAUAAUCAGGCAGCCUAAAAUCCUUGAUUUACAAGAGCUGUUCUUCUACAUGUUUUUUGCCACAUACAGAUAGAACCAACUCUCCUCUUUGCUAUUACUAAGAAUGAGUUUCAUUUGUGCUUCUGUUUAAAAAAUACACCUCUACUUGCACGCCACCGUUCUGACUUUUUAGCCACAAAGCAAGUUUGAUUUUUGUGAAAAUCAUUCACAGGGGUGCUGGGCCUUUGCCAAAGGGUCUGGUACUGUACUUACCUUUGCUUAAUACAUUGUGAUUGUCCUUUGGUGCUUAGUCUUAUUUUUAUUCAGGCACUGAUUAUUAGGUGAUAUUUGGCUGUCAAAAGUUACUGGGCCCACGACUUCAAGUAUUGCGCAGUGUAUUAAGGGAGCGGGUGAACUUUUUAAAUUAUAUUCAUAGUUUUAUUAAUUAAUAACUUAUGCCACCCACGCAAUGAAAAAUUAAAAUCAAUUAUUGCGUACAAGUAAACAGUUGAGAAAACGGUCUCUUGCGAUCAUGGACUCUUCUAAAGACUUCGGUGAUGACUCAACCGGCUUUUUUCAAAGCCAUCAUUUCAGUGUUGAUCCAACCGGCUUUUUUCAAAGCCA
Molecule: RNA transcript, 1986 nt
Organism: Amphimedon queenslandica
Lineage: Eukaryota; Metazoa; Porifera; Demospongiae; Haplosclerida; Niphatidae
Gene name: glutaredoxin-3
Exons: 5
Source: RefSeq, a predicted model, not a curated record